This 234-nucleotide long non-coding RNA is filed under the name Homo sapiens (human). Its description in RNAcentral is "HSALNT0038376". Lineage: Eukaryota; Metazoa; Chordata; Mammalia; Primates; Hominidae. The record is from RNAcentral.
UGUGUUUGGGGUCUAUCCUUUAACCAGGUGAAAGAAAGAAACAUAGAACACUUGUACCCACAUAUAGACUUAGGAAUCAUCAGCAACCUGAGUGUAAUUGUGAAGAAAUCCCUGUGUAGAAAUUCAGGCAAACUUGAGGUUGGAUUCGCAUGGCACAGCUGGAAGUAGAGAUUAGAGAAAACUCACAUAGUUCAUGGUUACAGGCAUAAGAAAUUGACCAAAUCAUUCCUUGAU